RNAcentral lists this ribosomal RNA (524 nucleotides) under Aureobasidium sp. RNAcentral's name for it is "partial large subunit ribosomal RNA". It matches the Rfam family "Eukaryotic large subunit ribosomal RNA", at positions 79 to 611 of the family's 3401-position model. The record is from RNAcentral. Lineage: Eukaryota; Fungi; Ascomycota; Dothideomycetes; Dothideales; Saccotheciaceae.
CCUAGUAACGGCGAGUGAAGCGGCAACAGCUCAAAUUUGAAAGCUGGCCUUCGGGUCCGCAUUGUAAUUUGUAGAGGAUGCUUUGGGUGAAACGCCAGUCUAAGUUCCUUGGAACAGGACGUCAUAGAGGGUGAGAAUCCCGUAUGUGACUGGAAAUGUUAACCUAUGUAAAGCUCCUUCGACGAGUCGAGUUGUUUGGGAAUGCAGCUCUAAAUGGGAGGUAAAUUUCUUCUAAAGCUAAAUAUUGGCGAGAGACCGAUAGCGCACAAGUAGAGUGAUCGAAAGAUGAAAAGCACUUUGGAAAGAGAGUUAAAAAGCACGUGAAAUUGUUGAAAGGGAAGCGCUUGCAAUCAGACUUGUUUAAACUGUUCGGCCGGUCUUCUGACCGGUUUACUCAGUUUGGACAGGCCAGCAUCAGUUUCGGCGGCCGGAUAAAGGCUCUGGGAAUGUGGCCUUCACUUCGGUGAAGGUGUUAUAGCCCAGGGUGUAAUACGGCCAGCCGGGACUGAGGUCCGCGCUCGGCU